UGGCUGGCCAAGCAAGAGAACAAAGAGAAAAAGAGAAGAACAAACCCUAGGAAGGAAAAAUUCAAGAGAAAUUGUUGGAUUUCAAGGAAUCAAGCAAGUAAAGGUGGUGAGCCCUUUGAUAUGGGUAAAGAUAUUGUGCCCGAGGACCAAGAAUAGGAGUACUCCAAACUCCUGCUAUUGCUAAGGACAGUUUGUAGACAGCCGAUUUUGUCGAGGGUUGCUUUUCGAUUUACAUCCUUAGAAAUCGAAGGUCUACAGUCUUGUAUAAUUGCGAUUAUUUUGGGGCCGACAUGUCAUUGUAGAAUAUUUUGUAUACCUGGCUGCGUGUGCCACUAUAUGUAUGCAUUUAUUUUGCUUUUACGCUACAAAAAUUAUUUACGUAGAGUUCUAUAAAUAUUG
Theobroma cacao (cacao) is the source of this 399-nucleotide non-coding RNA. The record is from RefSeq and is a predicted model, not a curated record. NCBI's taxonomy places the organism in Eukaryota, Viridiplantae, Streptophyta, Magnoliopsida, Malvales, Malvaceae.